CUAAAGCAUCUCCUUGUUGCAGACCAUUCUGAAUGGAAAAUAAGUAGCAGAAGUCCCUGCACCUUUAAACUGAGGUGAAAGUUUAAGAAAAAUGUUGGUGUAACUGUAGUAGCAUAACAGAUAUUUUAAGAGAAGUCAAGAGACCAAAUUAAACACCAAAAUGUGCAGAUGGAAGUAAAUAUUUAUUCAGCAGAGGGAAUAAUUAAAAGGACAAUAAUGGGCUCCCAAAGCAAAGAUUACACUAUCAUACACCAUUCAGAAAAUUGCUACAAGGUUCAAACAAGCUUCAGUGUAAUCAGUAAAGGCAGAAAAGAAGAUAUUCAUUCCACAUGCAAAAGAUAAGAGAAUGGACAAUAAAUCUCCCAAAACACCAGUGCAAAGCAAAGAAUACAGAAUCACAAACCUUUGAGAAAAUGGCUAUGGAGUUUUAACAAGUGUCAGCCUAACAUGUGAAGGCAUAAAACAUUCUGCAAGCAAAAGAGAAAUUAAAAGUGCGCAGACUUCUACCAUAUAUGAUGGUACACAUCAGACACGUGAUAGAAAUAUGAAGAUUUACAGCACUAGCUGCAAUGGAAACUGAAUAUGAAGAUGGAUUCACAAAUACUGGAGGAAACUAUCAUUACAUAACUAUCUCAGGUGCUCAGACUGGACCCUCCUGAAUGGACCACAUCUUUGUAACACGAGACAGUGGGAACACACCUCAUGUUUUGAUAGGACACAUGAAGGAACAUACCUCAGGUAUGUCAGAUGAGGUAAGGCACAUAUUUCAUUUUAAGUUAUUAUAAAUGAAUUCACUCCAUGCAGCAGACUCUGUCUUGAGAACCUGACAGUCCCUACUGGUCAAGGAAUUCACUGCCUUUUAUGAAAUCUGAAGGCUUGGUAACAUACUCGCAAGAGCCUCACACUGGACCCUAACCUCAGCCAGUUGAACCCAGCCCACAUCCUCACAUGCUUCUCAAGAAUUCUGUAAUAGAAUUCCCUUAAAAAACAUGAAAUAUGUUUAAUGACACUAGUGUAGAUACAACCUCAGUGGUUUGCAUGAUCUUCAUGUUGGUAUUAUCAAUUGUAGUAAAUUAAAAAGCAUGAAAGAAGGCAAGUCUUCAGCAGUGUGAUGUUCAUACUUAGUUUCACCAUAAAUUUGUUCACGAUGAUGAUGCUGUUCUUCUGGGUUGUGAUGCCAUGUAGACUCGUAGGUAGGUACCAACGUUUUGGAGAACCAUAUGUCUCCAGCUUCAUUCCUGAAGAUACUGGUAUUUACAUGUAAGUCUAUACAGCAUCACAUCUCAGAAAUAUAUGUUGGGCUACAAAGGGCAUUUGUAUUGUAGGAGUAUUAAGCCAUUCUGCAAUACA
This is a non-coding RNA of Zootermopsis nevadensis, 1350 nucleotides long. Lineage: Eukaryota; Metazoa; Arthropoda; Insecta; Blattodea; Termopsidae. The record is from RefSeq and is a predicted model, not a curated record.